GUUUUAAUAAUUUAUAAAAAAAUAUUGGUCUUGUAAACCAAAAAAGAGAAAUUUCUCUUAAAACU
RNAcentral lists this transfer RNA (65 nucleotides) under Onitis alexis. Its description in RNAcentral is "tRNA-Thr". The record is from RNAcentral. Lineage: Eukaryota; Metazoa; Arthropoda; Insecta; Coleoptera; Scarabaeidae.